GCCUAUGCAGUGGUGCAGGAGCACCUCCUCAGAGCGCGGGCUGGGGGAGCUGUUGUGUUCACCUGCCCGGCGCUGGGCCUGGGGGACCAUGGGCUCCCGGCCUCCCAGGUGGCUGGCCGGCCACUCAUAGGGCUCGGGCUUGCUGAGCGAGCUGGCCGAGAAGCUCAUGGAGUAGCAAGGUGGGGUCUCAUCGGAGAUCACCUGGGGCUGGGCCCAGGGGUGCAGCUUGACCUGAGCGGCUGCCUUGGCUGGGGCCCGGGCCUCCUUCCCAGCCCACUUCAGAACCUGCGGGAUGGCAGAUGGUCGCCGCGGGGGCAGCCCGGCCGAGGAGGACGCCUCAUCAGAGUCCUAAAAGCAGUACCCGGCCUCCUCGGUGGGCGUCCUGAGGCACAGGGACUUCACCCCAAGCCCAGUCCAAAUGGGCACUUGGGAGCCAGACCAGGGGCAGCUCCAGCCCGCCCCGGCUCCUGCCUGUGCUCUGGGCCUGCUCUGGGCUCCAGCUGGUGCCCCCCGGCCUUGAGCCGGUGCCCUGAAACCUGGCUGGAGGGGGCCGCGAGGCUGGGGGGCUCCUGCCUGUCCAGGCGGCCUCGGGGUUGCUCCCUGGGUGGCCCUUGCAGGGUCUUGUCGCUGAGGGACACGGCGCUGGAGAAGCUGACCAGUGUGCCCUCAACCAGGUCGGUGCACAAGUCGUCCUCCCGGGCACCAGCUUGUAGACAGGGACGGGCAGUGCCCGGCGGCCGGGCACCAGCGCCAAGGCCACUUUGCGGAGUCACGCGGGCACUGCGGCCCCUAGGCACUCGCGCAGCAGCUCCAGCUCCUGGUCCGCGGCCACGUGGUUGCAGGAGUCCGCGGGCGCCGGCCCCUCCUGGCAUCCUGCGACUUCUCCCCAGCGGCGCCCGCCGCCACCUCCACCCCUGCCAGUGCCGGCCGCAGCAGCCGCAGCUCCAUGUCCUGCUGCACGGAGUGCUCCUGCAGGGGGAGCGCACUGAGGCUGGAGGCGCAGAAUUUCUCGUCCAGCUUCUCCACGGUGAAGCCGUCUGGGCGGCAUGGUCUGCCCGGGUCUGUGGGGCAGCUCACUGGGGCUCAUCAUGCUGCUGCCCAGCCCAUUGCAGGGGUCACUGGGGAUGGAGCUGGCGAUGGACAGGCUCUGGAAGCUGCCCAGGGAGCUCACCGAGCUGCAGCGGCUCAGGAGCAGUGGUAUCUACCGCACACAAUUCUCAGAAGAGCUGGAUGGCAUGGCAUCCUCCAUGCCCAGGCCCCGGCCGCGGCCCCGCUGUGGAGCCAGGAUGGCCGUGGGCCGGGAGGAGGGCCUGCGCCAUGCCCCGGCCAGCUCCGCCUCUUCGGGGCCGGCCUCUUCCAGGCCCUGGAGAAAGGAGUCGCUGUCCAGGUCUCCGGCCUAGCAGGGGCCCGGGCAUCUGGUGGAGGACAGCUAGGACAGCAAGCUGCAGCGGGACAGUGAGAGGGGCCCCUCCUGUGCUACCAGCCUCUGGGGGCAGCCGGCCAGCCCCCAGCUUCUCGGGCACCUGGCUCAGGCCCUCCGCUGGCAGCCAGGCCUGCUUUCAGGCCGCGGGGGGUGUGCCUUGGGGCCACCUGGGGCCCCCACGCCUGCCCUACCCUUGA
This is a long non-coding RNA of Oryctolagus cuniculus (rabbit), 1620 nucleotides long. Lineage: Eukaryota; Metazoa; Chordata; Mammalia; Lagomorpha; Leporidae. The record is from Ensembl.